ACAAACUUGAGAGUUUGAUCCUGGCUCAGAACGAACGCUGGCGGCAUGCCUAACACAUGCAAGUCGAACGAG
This 72-nucleotide ribosomal RNA is filed under the name Novosphingobium sp. PhB55. RNAcentral's name for it is "partial 16S ribosomal RNA". It matches the Rfam family "Bacterial small subunit ribosomal RNA", at positions 1 to 70 of the family's 1533-position model. The record is from RNAcentral. Lineage: Bacteria; Pseudomonadati; Pseudomonadota; Alphaproteobacteria; Sphingomonadales; Sphingomonadaceae.